GAUGAACGCUGGCGGCGUGCCUAAUACAUGCAAGUCGAACGAAACUUCUUUAUCACCGAGUGCUUGCACUCACCGAUAAAGAGUUGAGUGGCGAACGGGUGAGUAACACGUGGGCAACCUGCCCAAAAGAGGGGGAUAACACUUGGAAACAGGUGCUAAUACCGCAUAACCAUAGUUACCGCAUGGUAACUAUGUAAAAGGUGGCUAUACUACCGCUUUUGGAUGGGCCCGCGGCGCAUUAGCUAGUUGGUAGGGUAAAGGCUUACCAAGGCAAUGAUGCGUAGCCGAAUUGAGAGGUUGAUCGGCCACAUUGGGACUGAGACACGGCCCAAACUCCUACGGGAGGCAGCAGUAGGGAAUCUUCCACAAUGGGCGAAAGCCUGAUGGAGCAACACCGCGUGGGUGAAGAAGGUCUUCGGAUCGUAAAACCCUGUUGUUAGAGAAGAAAGUGCGUGAGAGUAACUGUUCACGUUUCGACGGUAUCUAACCAGAAAGCCACGGCUAACUACGUG
Molecule: ribosomal RNA, 512 nt
Filed under: uncultured bacterium
Lineage: Bacteria
Description: partial 16S ribosomal RNA
Rfam family: Bacterial small subunit ribosomal RNA
Source: RNAcentral